UGGUGCUGAUGCAAUGGUUUUUUGUUUUUAUAUCAGUGGGUCUCUGCUGACUUUUAUCCUGGCGGAAGAACUGAGUCGGGUCAGGUGUGCAGCCUGUG
This is a long non-coding RNA of Melanotaenia boesemani (Boeseman's rainbowfish), 98 nucleotides long. RefSeq lists it as uncharacterized. The record is from RefSeq and is a predicted model, not a curated record. The transcript is spliced from 3 exons. NCBI's taxonomy places the organism in Eukaryota, Metazoa, Chordata, Actinopteri, Atheriniformes, Melanotaeniidae.